This 156-nucleotide non-coding RNA is filed under the name Ruminococcus sp. Lineage: Bacteria; Bacillati; Bacillota; Clostridia; Eubacteriales; Oscillospiraceae. The record is from RNAcentral.
AACAAAAAAAUCGAGCGUGGUUCGGCUGAUGGCAGCCGAUUUAAGGAAAUCCGGUGCGAUUCCGGAGCUGCUUUUCCCUGUGUGAAAUGUAUCGAAUGAAAAACGCCUUAUGAAAACAUUUUGAGCCAGUAUAUCCAACACGUCAGGCAAAGAAUA